Molecule: ribosomal RNA, 305 nt
Filed under: uncultured bacterium
Lineage: Bacteria
Description: bacterial SSU rRNA
Rfam family: Bacterial small subunit ribosomal RNA
Source: RNAcentral
GCCUACGGGGGGCAGCAGUGAGGAAUAUUGGUCAAUGGGCUUACGCCUGAACCAGCCAAGUCGCGUGAGGGAAGACUGCCCUAUGGGUUGUAAACCUCUUUUGUCAGGGAGCAACGCCGGCUACGUGUAGCCGGACUGAGAGUACCUGAAGAAAAAGCAUCGGCUAACUCCGUGCCAGCAGCCGCGGUAAUACGGAGGAUGCGAGCGUUAUCCGGAUUUAUUGGGUUUAAAGGGUGCGUAGGCGGUCCGUUAAGUCAGCGGUAAAAUUGCGGGGCUCAACCCCGUCGAGCCGUUGAAACUGGCAG